GAAUAUUGCGCAAUGGAGGAAACUCUGACGCAGCGACGCCGCGUGAGCGAUGAAGGUCUUCGGAUCGUAAAGCUCUGUCCUUGGGGAAGAAGGUCUUCGGACUUGACGGUACCCAUGGAGGAAACCCCGGCUAACUACGUGCCAGCAGCCGCGGUAAUACGUAGGUGGCAAGCGUUGUCCGGAAUUAUUGGGCGUAAAGCGCGCGCAGGCGGUUCUUUAAGUCUGAUGUGAAAGCCCACGGCUCAACCGUGGAGGGUCAUUGGAAACUGGAGAACUUGAGUACAGAAGAGGAAAGCGGAAUUCCACGUGUAGCGGUGAAAUGCGUAGAGAUGUGGAGGAACACCAGUGGCGAAGGCGGCUUUCUGGUCUGUAACUGACGCUGGGGCGCGAAAGCGUGGGGAGCAAAC
Molecule: ribosomal RNA, 407 nt
Filed under: uncultured bacterium
Lineage: Bacteria
Description: bacterial SSU rRNA
Rfam family: Bacterial small subunit ribosomal RNA
Source: RNAcentral